CCGGAGCUUGCUCCACCGGAAAAAGAAGAGUGGCGAACGGGUGAGUAACACGUGGGUAACCUGCCCAUCAGAAGGGGAUAACACUUGGAAACAGGUGCUAAUACCGUAUAACAAUCGAAACCGCAUGGUUUUGAUUUGAAAGGCGCUUUCGGGUGUCGCUGAUGGAUGGACCCGCGGUGCAUUAGCUAGUUGGUGAGGUAACGGCUCACCAAGGCCACGAUGCAUAGCCGACCUGAGAGGGUGAUCGGCCACAUUGGGACUGAGACACGGCCCAAACUCCUACGGGAGGCAGCAGUAGGGAAUCUUCGGCAAUGGACGAAAGUCUGACCGAGCAACGCCGCGUGAGUGAAGAAGGUUUUCGGAUCGUAAAACUCUGUUGUUAGAGAAGAACAAGGAUGAGAGUAACUGUUCAUCCCUUGACGGUAUCUAACCAGAAAGCCACGGCUAACUACGUGCCAGCAGCCGCGGUAAUACGUAGGUGGCAAGCGUUGUCCGGAUUUAUUGGGCGUAAAGCGAGCGCAGGCGGUUUCUUAAGUCUGAUGUGAAAGCCCCCGGCUCAACCGGGGAGGGUCAUUGGAAACUGGGAGACUUGAGUGCA
Molecule: ribosomal RNA, 598 nt
Filed under: uncultured bacterium
Lineage: Bacteria
Description: bacterial SSU rRNA
Rfam family: Bacterial small subunit ribosomal RNA
Source: RNAcentral